UACGUAGGGUGCGAGCGUUGUCCGGAAUUAUUGGGCGUAAAGAGCUUGUAGGCGGUUUGUCGCGUCUGCUGUGAAAAUCCGGGGCUCACCCGGACUUGCAGUGGGUACGGGCAGACUAGAGUGUGGUAGGGGAGACUGGAAUUCCGUGGUGUAGCGGUGAAAUGCGCAGAUAUCAGGAGGAACACCGAUGGCGAAGGCAGGCUCCUGGGCCACUACUGACGUGAGAACGAAAGCUGGGGGAGCGAACAGG
RNAcentral lists this ribosomal RNA (250 nucleotides) under uncultured bacterium. Its description in RNAcentral is "partial 16S ribosomal RNA". It matches the Rfam family "Bacterial small subunit ribosomal RNA", at positions 524 to 776 of the family's 1533-position model. The record is from RNAcentral.